AACCUGGUUGAUCCUGCCAGUUACAUAUGCUUGUCUUAAAGAUUAACCCAUGCAUGUGCCAGUUCAGUAUUGAACAGCGAAACUGCGAAUGGCUCAUUAAAACAGUUAUAGUUUAUUUGAUAAUUCAAAAUUACAUGGAUAACCGAGCUAAUUGUUGGGCUAAUACAUGCGAAAAAAUCCGUGUCCCGCGACCGGAUUGUAUUUAUUAGAUAUUAAACCAAUCUCCUUCGGGCGAUUGUGAUGAUUCAAAGUAACUGAUCGAAUCGCGGCUUGCUGCGAUAAAUCAUCUAAGUUUCUGCCCUAUCAGCUCUCGAUGGUAGUGUAUUGGACUACCAUGGCGCUCACGGGUAACGGAGAAUUAGGGUUCGAUUCCGGAGAAGGAGCCUGAGAAACGGCUACUACACCUACGGGUAGGCAGCAGGGACGUAAAUUACCCAAUCCUAAUUCAGGGAGGUAGUGACAAGAAAUAGCAAGCCGGGAGAUUCUUCUCUACGGCAUUGAAAUGAGAACAGUGUAAAUCUCUUAGCGAGGAACAAUUGGAGGGCAAGUCAGGUGCCAGCAGCCGCGGUAAUUCCUGCUCCAAUAGCGUAUAUUAAAGUUGUUGCAGUUAAAAAGCUCGUAGUUGAACUUCUGCCUAUUUUAGCUGGGUUCUCUUAGCUAAAAUGGGCAUACGUUUGCAAACCAAACUCGGCCUUCACUGGUUCGACUUGGGGAGUAAACAUUUUACUGUGAAAAAAUUAGAGUGUUUCAGGCAGGUUAUAGCCCGGAUACAUCAGCAUGGAAUAAUGGAAUAGGACUGAGUCCAUUUUAUUGGUUAUUGGAUUUGGUAAUGAUUAAUAGGGACAGUUGGGGGCAUUAGUAUUUAAUAGUCAGAGGUGAAAUUCUUGGAUUUAUUAAGGACUAACUAAUGCGAAAGCAUUUGCCAAAGAUGUUUUCAUUAAUCAAGAACGAAAGUUAGGGGAUCAAAGACGAUCAGAUACCGUCGUAGUCUUAACUAUAAACUAUACCGACUCGGGAUCGGCUGGAAUACUAUGUCCAGUCGGCACCGUAUGAGAAAUCAAAGUCUUUGGGUUCUGGGGGAAGUAUGGUCGCAAGGCUGAAACUUAAAGGAAUUGACGGAACAGCACACCAGAAGUGGAACCUGCGGCUUAAUUUGACUCAACACGGGGAAACUCACGAGCGCAAGACAGAGAAGGGAUUGACAGAUUGAGAGCUCUUUCUUGAUUCUUUGGGUGGUGGUGCAUGGCCGUUCUUAGUUGGUGGAGUGAUUUGUCUGGUUAAUUCCGUUAACGAACGAGACCUUAACCUGCUAACUAGUCGACCUGUGAACAACGGGUUGUACUUCUUAGAGGGACUAUUGUGCAUUUAAGCCAAUGGAAGUUUAAGGCAAUAACAGGUCUGUGAUGCCCCUAGACGUGCUCGGCCGCACGCGCGUUACAAUGGCUGGCUCAAAAAGUAUUUCCUGACCUGGAAAGGUUCGGGUAAUCUUAUUAAUACCAGUCGUGUUAGGGAUAGUUCUUUGAAACUAUAGAUCUUGAACGAGGAAUUUCUAGUAAGUGCAAGUCAUCAGCUUGCGUUGAUUAUGUCCCUGCCGUUUGUACACACCGCCCGUCGCUUGUAGUAACGAAUGGUCUGGUGAACCUUCUGGACCGAGGUCGCAAGGCUUUGGGAAGUUAAGUAAACCCUACCAUUUGGAACAACAAGAAGUCGUAACAAGGUAUCUGUAGGUGAACCUGCAGAUGGAUCAUUA
Ribosomal RNA from Ichthyophthirius multifiliis, 1750 nucleotides. It matches the Rfam family "Eukaryotic small subunit ribosomal RNA". NCBI's taxonomy places the organism in Eukaryota, Ciliophora, Oligohymenophorea, Hymenostomatida. The record is from Rfam.